CCUACGGGGGGCAGCAGUGGGGAAUAUUGGACAAUGGGGGGAACCCUGAUCCAGCCAUGCCGCGUGUGUGAAGAAGGCCCUCGGGUUGUAAAGCACUUUCAGUGAGGAAGAACGCCUGGUGGUUAAUACCCAUCAGGAAAGACAUCACUCACAGAAGAAGCACCGGCUAACUCCGUGCCAGCAGCCGCGGUAAUACGGAGGGUGCGAGCGUUAAUCGGAAUUACUGGGCGUAAAGCGCGCGUAGGUGGCUUGAUAAGCCGGUUGUGAAAGCCCCGGGCUCAACCUGGGAACGGCAUCCGGAACUGUCAAGCUAGAGUGCAGGAGAGGAAGGUAGAAUUCCCGGUGUAGCGGUGAAAUGCGUAGAGAUCGGGAGGAAUACCAGUGGCGAAGGCGGCCUUCUGGACUGACACUGACACUGAGGUGCGAAAGCGUGGGUAGCAAAUAGGAUUAGAUACCCUUGUAGUC
Molecule: ribosomal RNA, 465 nt
Filed under: Vreelandella stevensii
Lineage: Bacteria; Pseudomonadati; Pseudomonadota; Gammaproteobacteria; Oceanospirillales; Halomonadaceae
Description: partial 16S ribosomal RNA
Rfam family: Bacterial small subunit ribosomal RNA
Source: RNAcentral